This 253-nucleotide ribosomal RNA is filed under the name uncultured bacterium. RNAcentral describes it as "partial 16S ribosomal RNA". It matches the Rfam family "Bacterial small subunit ribosomal RNA", at positions 524 to 776 of the family's 1533-position model. The record is from RNAcentral.
UACGAAGGGGGCAAGCGUUGUUCGGAAUUACUGGGCGUAAAGGGCGCGUAGGCGGUGCACUAAGUCAGGCGUGAAAGCCCUGGGCUCAACCCGGGAAUUGCGCUUGAUACUGGUGCGCUUGAAUCCAGGAGAGGUUGGUGAAAUUCCCAGUGUAGAGGUGAAAUUCGUAGAGAUUGGGAAGAACACCGGUGGCGAAGGCGGCCAACUGGACUGGUAUUGACGCUGAGGCGCGAAAGCGUGGGGAGCAAACAGG